This 229-nucleotide unclassified non-coding RNA is filed under the name plant metagenome. RNAcentral describes it as "partial contains small subunit ribosomal RNA, internal transcribed spacer 1, and 5.8S ribosomal RNA". The record is from RNAcentral.
UCUCCGUAGGUGAACCUGCGGAGGGAUCAUUACAGAGUUCAUGCCCUACCGGGUAGAUCUCCCACCCUAUGUUAUUAUUACUUUGUUGCUUUGGCGGGCCGUUAGGCUCCGGCCCGACUACCGGCCCCGGCUGGUAAGCGCCCGCCAGAGGACCCAAGGCCCUGAAUAUUAGUGUCGUCUGAGUACUAUAUAAUAGUUAAAACUUUCAACAACGGAUCUCUUGGUUCUG